CCUACGGGAGGCAGCAGUGAGGAAUAUUGGUCAAUGGACGAGAGUCUGAACCAGCCAAGUAGCGUGAAUGAUGACUGCCCUCUGGUUUGUAAACUUUUUUUAUAAAGGAAUAAAACGAGGCACGUGUUCAUGUUUGCAUGUACUUUAUGAAUAAGGAUCGGCUAACUCCGUACCAGCAGCCGCGGUAAUACGGAGGAUGCGAGCGUUAUCCGGAUGUAUUGGGUUUAAAGGGAGCGUAGAUGGGUUGGUAAGUCAGUUGUGAAAGUUUGCGGCUCAACCGUAAAAUUGCAAUUGAUACUGGCAGUCUUGAGUACAGUUGAGGUAGGCGGAAUUCGUGGUGUAGCGGUGAAAUGCUUAGAUAUCACGAAGAACCCCGAUUGCGAAGGCAGCUUACUAAACUGUGACUGACAUUGAUGCUCGAAAGUGUGGGGAUCAAACAGGAUUAGAUACCCUUGUAGUC
This 460-nucleotide ribosomal RNA is filed under the name uncultured bacterium. RNAcentral describes it as "partial 16S ribosomal RNA". It matches the Rfam family "Bacterial small subunit ribosomal RNA", at positions 338 to 795 of the family's 1533-position model. The record is from RNAcentral.